UACGGAGGAUCCUAGUGUUAUCCGGAUUUAUUGGGUUUAAAGGGAGCGUAGGCGGGAGGUCAAGUCAGCUAUGAAAUGUAUCUGCUUAACGGGUACACUGCAGUUGAAACUGGUUUUCUUGAGUGCGUAAGAGGCAGGCGGAAUUCGUUGUGUAGCGGUGAAAUGCUUAGAUAUGACGAGGAACUCCUAUUGCGAAGGCAGCUUGCUGGGUCGUUACUGACGCUGAUGCUCGAAGGUGCGGGGAUCAAACAGGAUUAGAUA
Molecule: ribosomal RNA, 261 nt
Filed under: uncultured prokaryote
Description: partial 16S ribosomal RNA
Rfam family: Bacterial small subunit ribosomal RNA
Source: RNAcentral